RNAcentral lists this long non-coding RNA (1974 nucleotides) under Ananas comosus (pineapple). RNAcentral describes it as "long non-coding RNA (ACOM_LNC030964)". Lineage: Eukaryota; Viridiplantae; Streptophyta; Magnoliopsida; Poales; Bromeliaceae. The record is from RNAcentral.
UUCUAGAGAUAAGUUAGUACACACACACACAUAGAGAAAGAGAGAGUUGAGCUGGCCUGGAAUGCUAUUAAUGACAAAUCGACUUCGUUGCCACCUAUUUGUUUUCAAUGAUGGAGCCUCUAAAUCGACAAUUAACACCAUUGAAUAUGAUUUAUAUCAUUUGAAGUAUCUAGAAACCAAAUUUUAUAUUUUUACGAUAUUCUUCUCUUGUCCAUCAAGCGGACACAAAAAUAAAUGGCUGAAAAUAAAUAUCCUUCAAAAAGUGAUAAUAAAAGUCUUGUAAUUAAGAUCAAAAGUAUAGAUCUUGUUCUAAAUUAUUUAAAAAACUUUCUAACCAAAAUUCAAUUGAUUUGGACGUCUUAUAUCGACCAUUAAAAUUACAAAUUUUAAAAUCCUUUGAUCAUUAGGUCAAUGAUGUCGAAAAGAUUUGAAAUUUAGUUUCUAAAUAUUUCAAGUGGUAUAGAUCAUAUUCAAAGAUGGCGAUCGUCAAUUUAGAGGCUCUAUCAUCUAAAACAAAUAGGUGGCAACGGAGUCUGUUUGCUACUAAUAGUAUUCCGGCUCAUCAACUCUCUCUCUCUCUCUCUCUCUCUCUCUCUCUCUCUAUAUAUAUAUAUAUAUAGUAGGUCUUGUGUGCUAUUAGGAGCACGGAGGCUUCCAUGUUCGUAAGCUGUUUUCGUCGGUGGAACUUCCGAAUCAAUAAUCGGCUCCGUUAGACUUGAUCUAGCAUAUUUGAAGAAUUUAGAAAAUAAAUUUUACGAUUUUUCGAUAUCAUUUAUCUAGUGAUCAUAAGGGUUCAAAAUCAAUAAUUUUUAAUGGUUAAUGUAUAUCGAUUGUAAAUUUAAUGAUGUAGAAGUAUUUAAAUCAGAUAAAAUUUUGAUAGAAAUUUUUUUAUAGUAUUUAUUGCAAGAUCAAUAUCUCUAACCGAAAAUUUUAAGAGUCCGGCUACUAUACUCUUAUGAGUACGAUCGUCUUCGUACUCAUAAGUUGUUUUCGAUGAUAAAGCUUGCGAAUCGACGACCCAUACCGUUAAACAUUAUCUAGAGCAUUUAAAACUUCUGAAAAUCAAAUUUUACAAUUUUUCGAUAUCAUUUACCUUACGAUCAAUAGCUCACAAAAUUGACAAUUUUUAACGGCCGGUAUGUGAUACUUGCUAGUUUAACGGUGUAAAAGAAUCGAAAUAGCUUGAAUUUUUGAUAGAAAAUUCUAUUCAUUACCUAGAUAAAGAUCAAUAACCCUCAUCUUAAAUUGAAGAAUCCGAUCAUCCAUUCUUAGGACGUUGUUCGAUUUUGACCGUUCAUUUUAUAUCCGCUUCGUACUCAUAAGUUGUUUUUGAUGUUGGGGAUUCCGAAUCGACGAUCCACACCGUCAAACAUGAUCUAGAGUAUUUGAAACUUCUAUAAAAUAAAUUUCGUAAUUUUUUGAAAUCAUUAUAAAGUCCAUCAAGCGGAUAUAAAAUGAACGGUCAAAAACGGAUAUAAAAUGAACGGUCCAUCAAGCGGAUAUAAAAUAAACGGUCAAAAUUGAACAACAUCCUAAGAAUGGAUGAUCGAAUUCUUCAAUUUAAGAUGAGGGUUAUUGAUCUUUAUCUAGGUAAUGAAUAGAAUUUUCUAUCAAAAAUUCAAGCUAUUUCGAUUCUUUUACACCGUUAAACUAGCAAGUAUCACAUACCGGCCGUUAAAAAUUGUCAAUUUUGUGAGCUAUUGAUCGUAAGGUAAAUGAUAAUUACGAUAUCAUUUUCCUAGUGAACGAAGGGGCUCAAAAUCAACGGCUGAAAAUAAAAAUCUUACAAAAUGUAAUAAUAUAACAUUAAAAUUUUAAAUCAAAGAUAUUGAUCUUGUUUUAUAUAGUAUAAAGAAUUUUCUAUCAAAAUUUCACGUGAUUUGGAUAUUUCUACACCGUUAAACUUGCAAACGGCUCACUACGGCCAUUGAAAUUUGUUGAUUUUGAGCCCAUUCGAUCACUCUAUAUAUAUAU